Molecule: long non-coding RNA, 1739 nt
Organism: Uranotaenia lowii
Lineage: Eukaryota; Metazoa; Arthropoda; Insecta; Diptera; Culicidae
Exons: 7
Source: RefSeq, a predicted model, not a curated record
UGAAUAUGUUGUCCAGACAACAAAUAUUCUGAACAAAAAGAAGUAGAGACUAUUUUAUGUUAGUGUUUGUAUUUUUGUAAUAGUACUCUUUGUUUAAAAAACGUCUCAUACGACGUAACGAAAGUGCACUUGAGAUUUCAUUCUAGGGUUUGUUUUCUGGUUUGCGUUUCAUCGAUUUCAUGUUUUUCAUUGGAAUUCUAAAUUUCUUGAAAUUAUCCUUCGAAGUACUGACCUUGAAGCAACAGAUUAAUGAAAUCCAGCUUUCGGAAAGGAACUGUUCUUCGGUGUAAUGUUAUUUAUCCAUCCAUCCAUAUUUGUCAGCUGCGAUUUGAUUCAGAAUCUGCUGUGACUGCUAAAUAGUUGUACCCAGGAAGAAACGAACUUAGGGUGCAUUAUGGCUGCUCUAUCGGUAAGUUUUCAUCAAUUUCGUGUAUGAUUCCGAUAGUGAUAAUCUCACACUUAUUUUCAGCUUUCGGUAUGGAAAAAUCUUUCAACCUAAAGGUACGCCGUGCGUUCUGAAGCGAUGCGUGAGAGACCAGACAACAUCAUCAAAUACCUAUGCAUCAGCUGGGGUGUUCUCAAGUUUUAUACAUAAGAAUGAAAGCACGACUAAAGAAAAAUCUCUUCGGGAACUCGGUUGUGAAUUGAUGGUUAAAGUUUUCCAGAGGUGUAAGUACCUUAGAAGUACUCGGCAAUCUGGUUAUGGCUAACCAAUAUUAUUUCAAACAACUGUUCGUUAUUCUGAGAUGGCCCCACGAGCUGCCCUCCCACUCUGUUUUAAUCGCAACUUGUCCGUGUUCAUGUUGACAAAAGAAGUUUGUUACCCUGCUUGAGACGCAUGCAUGGAAUAAGCUAAUCUACGGCUGACACCGAGUCUGAAUCAUCCUCUUUCAAGAGAUGGAACAACGGUAUCACUUCGUUAGUUCGUUGGAUCAGACGGGUGGCACUAACAGCAGCAGGAACGAAAAGUCCCUACAGUUCAGAAAUGUUUUCCUGCAACGGCGGUCACAUUCCGAUUUCUUUUAUCUUCGAUUUCCCACGAGGGCUUUUUGGUUAUGUUUGAUGAACUUCAACAAACGAUUGCAUGUCUACGGAGGUCUACGGUUUAUAACUCCACUACUCCGGGAAAUCAGCUGGUCGAUGUAUGACAGUUGUUUGGCUCUCGAAGCAAUGGAGCCCGUGUAAGACCGUGUUGGAGGAGCUGGAGGUGAAUGAGAAAUCAUGACCGUUUCUUUUGUAAGUGGGCACCAAAAUGUUCCCCAUGUACAAAAAGGUCAUCAAGUAUCUGAUGGAUAUGUCGACGAUCAAGGAGCACCUGCAAUGGUCUAUAAAUCACAGGAUUUCUUUAAUGAACGUUCUGCUCAUCUUUGACAACUGUGAAAUGGUCAACGAUGACGAUUCGCCGGUGGGCACAGCCGGUCAUAGAAUGUGCCAUCAUGCGUUGGGCUGAACUGACCGAGAAGCCGGCCACGCAACAACCACAACGACAGCAAUCAUCAUAACAGCCGGAUCAACAACACUCCAGCAGUCAACCGUAUCGAUUAAUUUAUAAGAAGUUAGUUUAAACAGUUUGACGUUAAAAAUUUAGGUAGUUAUAUUGAAACUCGGUAAAAUAGUAGAAAACCAAGACCUAAAAUGACCUCCAAAUGUAAAUAAUAGGAUUUUUUGAAUAGCUCAUGUAAAAACUGUAGGCAAAUAGAAUUGUAGCAUUGAGACUACAUAAGAAAAUUCUCAAAAUG